AUUGAACGCUGGCGGAAUGCUUUACACAUGCAAGUCGAACGGCAGCACGGACUUCGGUCUGGUGGCGAGUGGCGAACGGGUGAGUAAUGUAUCGGAACGUGCCCAGUCGUGGGGGAUAACGUAGUGAAAAUUACGCUAAUACCGCAUAUGAUCUAUGGAUGAAAGCGGGGGAUCGCAAGACCUCGCGCGAUUGGAGCGGCCGAUAUCAGAUUAGGUAGUUGGUGGGGUAAAGGCCCACCAAGCCAACGAUCUGUAGCUGGUCUGAGAGGACGACCAGCCACACUGGAACUGAGACACGGUCCAGACUCCUACGGGAGGCAGCAGUGGGGAAUUUUGGACAAUGGGCGGAAGCCUGAUCCAGCCAUUCCGCGUGCAGGAUGAAGGCCCUCGGGUUGUAAACUGCUUUUGUACAGAACGAAAAGGUUUCUACUAAUACUAGGAGCUCAUGACGGUACUGUAAGAAUAAGCACCGGCUAACUACGUGCCAGCCGCCGCUGUAA
Molecule: ribosomal RNA, 500 nt
Filed under: uncultured bacterium
Lineage: Bacteria
Description: partial 16S ribosomal RNA
Rfam family: Bacterial small subunit ribosomal RNA
Source: RNAcentral